CUGCAUAAACAUACUGAUGUGAGUUGUUGCACCAGAAUCUAUCCACCAUGUAUGUCUAGGUACCGAAGUUAAAUUAACCUCAGAACAAACCAAAUGAAGAAGAGUACAUUUCUUUACACGCCAUGCGUGGUAAUUGGUGCAAUUCUUCUUCUUAUGACCUGCAGCUCCACAGAAGAAACAACCGCCUUCAGUUGGUUCCUUAUGUUGUUUCUUUUGCGGUGCCGUACCUGCAGCUUCCUUAUUAAUCUUCCUUU
This 254-nucleotide long non-coding RNA is filed under the name Olea europaea (common olive). Its description in RNAcentral is "long non-coding RNA (OEUR_LNC009023)". The record is from RNAcentral. Lineage: Eukaryota; Viridiplantae; Streptophyta; Magnoliopsida; Lamiales; Oleaceae.